Microcebus murinus (gray mouse lemur) is the source of this 948-nucleotide non-coding RNA. NCBI's taxonomy places the organism in Eukaryota, Metazoa, Chordata, Mammalia, Primates, Cheirogaleidae. The record is from RefSeq and is a predicted model, not a curated record.
CGCCAGGAGGCUCUGAGCGCAUCCCCCGGGUCAACGUUCCUAGUGCCGGGAUCGUUGGCUAACGGUUGCGGGGAACAGUUGCGGCUCUAGUCCACCGCAGCCGGUUGGGCUGGGUUCCCAGCUCUGGCACAUUCCUGGCCAGAUUGGAAAUACGUAAUUUCCAAUUUCGUAUCAACAUCCCCCAGGCGGCCUCACCACGCCCUGACGUUGGCUCCUUGCUUCUCUUCAGCGCGAGGAUGCGGGACUUUUGUUUGACCCCGGAGUUAGGAGGUUGCGCUGCUACCUCACUACCCGGAGCCUGAGAGACAGUCGGGCCGAGGGCCCGCACCAGGGACAAGACCAGCCCUCCAGAUCCGGCCCUUUCAGAGCCAUCCAGAGGACCCAAGUUCGGGUGCAUGUAUAUACACAUGCCUUGCUGUAUGCGUGGGGUUUCAGAGCGUCCACUCUGCAUCACACCCUGGACAUUAUUAACCUAAUGUGUAUUUUUAAAAGUCACAUCAACCUCUCCAGCCAGCUGGAUUCGAAUCUACCAAUAAUCAACACAGUGAACAAUCUGCAGAAUGAGAGAAAAUAUUUGCAAAGUAUGCAUCCAACAGGGGACUAAUAUCCAGAAUGUACAAGGAACUCAAAUGAAACAACCACCACCAACCCCACCCCCAAAAUAAUCCCAUUAAAAAGUUGUUAGAGCUGGUUUCCUUCGGCCCCAGGAACAGGGAGGCAGAAUCGCUGAGGCUGCAAAGCACAAAGGAGUUUAUUGGCUAGCUCGAGCUAGGGUCCAGGUCCCAGAGCGCCAACGCAGUGGCCUACAUAGGAACCAGGACCCCACCCUGGGGUAUAAGUCAAGCUUUUAUACUUUUCUGCAAGUUGUACAUGUUGGGUACACCUUUCCUCCCCUCCCCCCUUAGUCCAUGGGUUCCUUUAAAAGUGGCUGAUCGUGUUGGCUCCUGA